CAAGAAAAGGUCAGGAUAGCUCAGUUGGUAGAGCAGAGGACUGAAAAUCCUCGUGU
This 56-nucleotide transfer RNA is filed under the name Poa urjanchaica. Its description in RNAcentral is "partial tRNA-Phe". The stretch from base 10 to 56 matches the Rfam family "tRNA", at positions 1 to 46 of the family's 71-position model. Rfam says of the family: Transfer RNA (tRNA) molecules are approximately 80 nucleotides in length. Their secondary structure includes four short double-helical elements and three loops (D, anti-codon, and T loops). Further hydrogen bonds mediate the characteristic L-shaped molecular structure. tRNAs have two regions of fundamental functional importance: the anti-codon, which is responsible for specific mRNA codon recognition, and the 3' end, to which the tRNAs corresponding amino acid is attached (by aminoacyl-tRNA synthetases). tRNAs cope with the degeneracy of the genetic code in two manners: having more than one tRNA (with a specific anti-codon) for a particular amino acid; and 'wobble' base-pairing, i.e. permitting non-standard base-pairing at the 3rd anti-codon position. The record is from RNAcentral. Lineage: Eukaryota; Viridiplantae; Streptophyta; Magnoliopsida; Poales; Poaceae.